GAUGAACGCUGGCGGCGUGCUUAACACAUGCAAGUCGAACGGUGAAGGAGAGCUUGCUCUCCGGAUCAGUGGCGAACGGGUGAGUAACACGUGAGCAAUCUGCCCCUGACUCUGGGAUAAGCGCUGGAAACGGCGUCUAAUACCGGAUACGAGCUGCGAAGGCAUCUUCAGCAGCUGGAAAGAACUUCGGUCAGGGAUGAGCUCGCGGCCUAUCAGCUAGUUGGUGAGGUAAUGGCUCACCAAGGCGUCGACGAGUAGCCGGCCUGAGAGGGUGACCGGCCACACUGGGCCUGAGACACUGCCCAGACUCCUACGGGAGGCAGCAGUGGGGAAUAUUGCACAAUGGGCGCAAGCCUGAUGCAGCAACGCCGCGUGAGGGACGACGGCCUUCGGGUUGUAAACCUCUUUUAGCAGGGAAGAAGCGAAAGUGACGGUACCUGCAGAAAAAGCACCGGCUAACUACGUGCCAGCCGCCACAGUAA
RNAcentral lists this ribosomal RNA (482 nucleotides) under uncultured bacterium. Its description in RNAcentral is "partial 16S ribosomal RNA". It matches the Rfam family "Bacterial small subunit ribosomal RNA", at positions 28 to 523 of the family's 1533-position model. The record is from RNAcentral.